Molecule: long non-coding RNA, 1003 nt
Organism: Seriola dumerili (greater amberjack)
Lineage: Eukaryota; Metazoa; Chordata; Actinopteri; Carangiformes; Carangidae
Exons: 4
Source: RefSeq, a predicted model, not a curated record
UGUCCGGCUCAAAGACAAAUUCACAAACAGCGACACCUUGUCAAGAGUAAAUUCAGAUCGCAUUACAUUUUUUACCGUGUCGUCAGAUAUUCUCGCUGCACCAGCUCUGAGCUUGAAUGUGAGACAUGUCAGAAAAGAGAACAGUGGAGAGGGAGAGGAGAAUCAGGAGGAGAUCUUAGAGGAUGAGGAGCAUCACGCUGAUCUUGGGUCACACAGAGCACACACUCAAAACAAUCCUGCAGCUGUCAAAAGAUGGAGUUUAAAACCUGCAGUGACUCUGGGAGUGAUCCAGCUGCUGAUACUAGCUGGACUCUUCAUACGUUGUGAGGAAAAUUGUCAUAUAUUAAAUCCCUCUCUGUUUCUCUGUAAUGCCGUCUUAAUGUUUUUCAUGAGAAAAUAUAGUUAAGAUAUUUCAGUCAUUUUGGAAAAAGACCAACUGCAGACAAGAUACAACAACCUGCACAACAAUCACAGCCAGUUACAGGAUGAAGUAAAGCAGCUCCAGGGGAAAAUUGCAGCCCAAGACCCCACCCUGAUAAUUUUGGUUCUGGGAGACAGGACACUCUCAAAAGACCUGGUACCAGUAUGUAGAAUGCUGCAGUCAGCAAGGAAAAUGGACACAAAGCAAAUAUUACAAUUCUAACACCUGGAUCUGUGAAAAAAAUAUCUCUUGCUUUUACUGUAGGGGAAGUGGUGUGUAUUUUUAGGAUGAAUCCAUCAACCCAAUCACUAUUUGUGCAGUUACUCACUCUGCACUCUCUGCAUAACAAACACAUGGCUCAUUGACUGACAAAUCCCCAUACAUAGUCAUAGUUACAUAACUUUUAAGUGACAACAGUAGAAAUGUGUUUUUUUCUCCCCUAAAACCGACUUGCCAUUCGACUCAAUAUUGUUACAUUUAACAGGUCACAUGACUCAGAUGGGAGUCUUAUGGUCUUUAUUACAUUAACUGUAUUAGUCAUGGAUGUAUAUUGUACAAAUAAAGAAUGUACAGAAACUUUGA